Molecule: long non-coding RNA, 1480 nt
Organism: Leopardus geoffroyi (Geoffroy's cat)
Lineage: Eukaryota; Metazoa; Chordata; Mammalia; Carnivora; Felidae
Exons: 2
Source: RefSeq, a predicted model, not a curated record
GGUGCAGAGGUAGUUCUUGAAAACAUCCAGAGUGGUUUCCAUAGCGCUGAAUCUCGUGGCUUCUUGUUCCCUGUGGACUCCUCUCUGUCACGUUUGCUCUGGUUUGGACCAGAGCCGGAGAGUGGCCGAGCCUAUCGUCACCGCAACGUGAGGGUCAGCCCUUGUCUUUGCAAUAACUGUCCUCAUCUUUUGCCCCGAGGCACACGUUUCCCAGACGGACGGAGUGCUGAAAAGAAAGAGUGAUUCAGACAGCCUAAAUGAAGACCCAUAUUUGCGAUUGGAUCACACACAGGCACGUUCAAGCCCCGAUACAUGGAUCCUGUCUGAUUGCCUUGUGAAUUUUGUCAUAGCUUCAUACAGUGGGAAUGAGUGUGGACCCUGCUCGGGAGGAAGAAGCGAGAGCCGAGUGUAUGCAGGCAAAGUAGGAACCACACUGCACACACAUGCCACAUUGUGGGUACAACAGCCCCACAUUUCCUCCUUCUUCUUUUUUUCAACUUGAUUAUUUAAAGUUUAUUUAUUUUUGAGAGAGGUGGGCGUGGGGCUAGGGACAGAGGGAGAUUGGGAAUCCACAGCGGUGCAGAGCCCAACGUGGGACUUCAUCCCAUGAGCCAUGAGAUCACGAUCUGAGCUGAAAUCAAGAGUUGGAUGCUUAACCAACUGAGUCACCCAGACGCCCCAUGCUUCUUUCUUUUAAGUAUCAGGGACAGCUUGUCACACAGAUUCACCUAAGCCACAGCAUCAAUUUAGGGUUGUGACUCAGGACCCCCGUAAACACACGUAUUGUUGACAGUCAUCAGGCGUGUCCCAAAAGCAGUAUUGUUUUGUCAGGGCGGCCCUAACAAAAUACCAUACAUGGGGUGGCUUAACCGCCAGGAAUUUACUUUCUCACAGUUCUGGAGGCGGGAAGUCCAAGAUCAAGUCCAAGUUCCGUGGCUCAAGGCCCGAGAUGAAGCUGGCAGUGGGUUUGGUCUGCAGCCUUUCUCCUGAGCUGCAAGAUGGCUGCCUUCUUGCUCUGUCAUCGCACGGUCUUCUUUCUGCGCACGUCUGUGUCCUAAUUUUCUCGUCUUCUAAGAACACCAGUCAUAUUUGUUUAGAACCCACCUUAAGGACCUUCUUUGGACUUAAUCACCUCUUUAAAGAGCCCAUUUCCAAACAUAGUCACAUUCUGAGAUGUUGGGAGUGAGGGCUUCGACAUACAGAUUUUGGGGGGAUGCAAUUCAGCCCAUAACAAAAGAGUAACAACACAUACAGAAGUCUAAUGCUUUGUCCUUCAUUUACGUGGUUUUGUUAGUGACCUUUAUUUAAUAUAAUAUGGACUUUGCUUUUUUUUUGUUUUCUGCCAAUAGCCAUUACAGAUUUACCCUUACUUUCUUUUCUAUAUCAGAUUGUCAGCUAACAAAAGAAUUGCGUCUUGGUGUCCCUCCCAGGACCCAACACGAUGUUUGACAAAUAAACGUUCAAGAACGGUCGCCGGUUC